This is a long non-coding RNA of Marmota monax (woodchuck), 1958 nucleotides long. RefSeq lists it as uncharacterized. The transcript has 2 exons. The record is from RefSeq and is a predicted model, not a curated record. NCBI's taxonomy places the organism in Eukaryota, Metazoa, Chordata, Mammalia, Rodentia, Sciuridae.
GUGUGGGAAGCCAUCCUGACACGUGACUGGGCGGCUCCUGUUAAGGGUCUGAGGCUUCUGGCUGUGUCGGAAUUUUCCCGGCCCUUUCCUGAUGAGAGAACCCGUCCAUGUAGGGGUGUGACUGACCACUGACCCCAGGGGCCCAAUCACUGACCCUGACCUUGGAGUGCAGUCCCCCCUCAACCUUCAUUGGAUGGAAUUAUCCCUUGAAUUUCUUGUUCCCCAAUAAAAGGCUACUCCCUGGCGUGUUCACUCUCUCUCUCUCCUGCUAGCCCUGAGUAAUCCUUGCUGCCCUGCUGGGCAGUUAGAGGUUGGAGCCAGAGAGGGGAGCCGUCUUGGACCUGGCAAUAGAAAUAAGGUAACUGAGUCUGUGUGUUUUAUUUCGAUCUCUUCUAACUAACUUUAUGCCAAGAACCUCAUUAAUGAAACCAUUGCACAGGCCGCAUGGUAGAUCCAUGGGAUCUGAGGUACCCCCCACUGCCAGUCAUGUCAUUCUCACUUGGGGCCUGGCCAUUAGUUUUGGGUCUUUGUCUGUUCUAUUCUUUGUAUUAAAGCAUACUUGAAGUUUAAGUGUGAUUAAUCUGUGUGUGAAAUGAGGUACACUAUAUUUUGGCUGGGUUUGGUUCAGCAGCAAAAUCUCUAAUCUGUGAGCUUGUAGUGUCCCUGUAGAUUUUUAUCACCUCACAGAGAAACAAUAGCAACAACCCAAGCAACAAAUACAGCAUUCAAAUAAAACCCUUGUCUGUUAUGACAUCUAGAACACGAAUUACCACAGAAAUGGGAACCAUGGGGCCAGUGAUUGCCAACAGCAAGAACAAUGAGUAAUUGUUAACUAGAUCUGGCAUAAAUCAGCAGGUGUCAGUACUGAUAACUGCAGCAACAUAAAUGGCAGGGGCACAAUCCUAUAAACUAGAUAGGCCAAAAGAUGGUGAAAAUACAGCUCAUUGAGAGAAAAAAGUGUGAUAGGAAGGUUGAAGAAAGUUUAGAAUGUUCAAAAUGUGAACAGAGAAAAGCUGAAGAGAUAAAGUGAUGGUUCUUGAAAAGGAGGAGGAAAAAUAGAAAAAAAAAGUAAAGGGAGAAGGAGAGAACAGAGAAUAUGGAUGUUAAGGGAGAAUAAAAGAGACCAAGAGAAAACAACAAACCCAAAGUAAACAAACCACACACCCUGACCCUCAAAGACACGGUGAGGGAGAAUAAUUGUCACAAAGAAUGCUAAAAAGGAGAAAAAAGACACACACACACACACACACACACACACACAUCCACAAACCAUGCAGCACAGCAAGAGUCACCACAAAGGAAAAAGGAGGAAAAAAAUAUUCUUAAUGAAAAGUGAAAGAGCUGUCUCCACUGAGGAGGUCAGAACAGCUGACAAGGGUGACGUCACUGCUGUGCCCCGCUGUCCUUUCUGCCAUCUUUUCUUGGGCCAUGGGCUGGAAGAGAGCAGGCUGGGGUUGCUAACCGCUUGCUCUCCCGUGUGGCUCGCGGAGCUGCGGGCUGGAGUGGCUGGACGGACGGGAACACUGCUUCUAUCAGAACAACCUGAGUGUAUCUGAGACAAUAAGCCAUCACCUAUAGGACAGAAAGAACACAAGGCUGAAUUCCAGGGCUAAUACUGACCCCAAUUAAAUGGAAGGGGCGACAACAAAACUAUAGAUAUGCAGGUUGAAAUCCAGUACUCCGACUUCAAGUGUUCCCAAGAAGGAUCUCUGAGGAAUCUCAGCUGACCCCAACAGAGGUAGGAACAGGGUCAGUUUUGACCAACUUGGUAUUAAGCAUGUGGUGACAGAGUGUGGCCAAAGCACAGCCACACAUGGACAUUAGGAAAAGGCAUGGUCUCUUUAAGGUAACUUGAGGUGCACAUUUGUGUCAGUCCUCCCCAAAUCAGUGAAACUGCAAGGUUGGGAAGGAAGGGUCUUUACACAGGAGUGCCUGAUAAAUAUCAAAAUGAGCAGUCA